GAAUAUCCAAGCGAACAACAUCCUGCUUCCUGCUGGCGACUUUAUUAUUUAAAACACGUCAUUUAAUCAUUAGUUCAAAACGUGUAGCUCACCGAGAAACAAGUAAAAUGUAUUUACUUAGUGGAUUUCUAUUUCUCGGAAUCAUCACCGCCAAAUGUUCGCAAUUAUAUCAUUACCCAAUCGGAGAAAUAAGUAAUGCUAGAUUGACGUGCACUAAUGAUUCCUCUGUAACACCAGAAUGUGUCACUAGCUGCGCUUUGGACAAAGCCCACGUGUUAACACCCUCAGGAGAUGGAAUAAAUCCUUAUGAAUUUGGACCUUUUUAUAAAGCAUUUGCAGAGGAUUGUUUCAUUUACAAAGCAAAACCAACUUGUGAGGAGGCAGAAGCUUUCGUUAGGUGUUUCCACAACAAAUCAAAUGAUGCCCCUAAAGCAGUAAUGGAAGAGUGUAUGAAAGAGUUUCCUCUUGAAAAUGUAGAAUCAGUUAAAGUAAAUGAAGAAGAAAUGAGCAAAAAUGAAAACUUGGCUUGUUUUGUAGCUUGUGUAAGUGACAAAAGCCACGACUUCACUGACGACGAUGAAAUUAAUUUAGCGGCUGUCAAUCCGCACAUAAAAUUUAAGUUUGAUGCUUUUAAAGCUGCUACACAGUGUCAAGAAAAAUAUAAAGAAGGGAGUAAGUGUCUUAAAAGAGCGAAUAUUUACAUGUGUUUUGUUGCGGCAUAUGAAAAAGAACAAAGUGCUAGCUAUCAACAAAACGUGUAAAAUAAUACACUUAUUAUUUGAUACGCAUGAAUUAAUUUCAUGUAAAACAAAAAAAUACCACGAUAUUGUAAUAUUCCUAUUGUAAUAAACACUGAGCAAAACUACAUCCUGUUUACUGCUUUAGACUUUCCUAUAAAAUAGGUGUGAUCGUCGAAUCAUGUUAGUAGAUCAACAGAGUAGGCUGUAACACGAUGAAUUUAUUAUGUGUUUUACUGCUGUUGAGCAUCGCUGUAAAUACGAAAUGUUCUGAUAUAUUUCGUGAUCCAAUUUUGGAAAUAGCAAAAACCUAUGGUAUAUGUAAAGCUGACACCUCAAUAACAGCAGAGUGUAAAUUGAGUUGCGCAUUGGACAAGGCAAAUAUGUUAACCUCGUCUGGAAAUGCAAUUAAUCCUUUGGAAUUUGGUAACUUUUACAAACCGUCCGCCGAAAGUUGUUUCACUUAUAGUGCAAAACCAAAUUGUAAGCAAGCAAGUGAAUUCAUAAGUUGCUUCCGUAACAAAUCAAUCUCCGCAAACAAUGAAGUAGGAACUGAGUGUGGAAAACGGUUUCCAGUCGAAAAUAUACACUUAAUACCGUUGACAGCAGAGGUGUUGGCUAAACAUGAAACUAUUGCUUGCCGAGUCGCUUGCAUUAGUGAAAAAUUGCACAUGUAUACAGAUGAUGGCAAAAUUGAUUUAUCCUUUAUUAAUCCACACAUUCAUUUUGAGUUUAAUGCAACUGAAGUUGUUUUAAAAUGUGACGAAAAUAAUAAACAAGAAAGCCAAUGUCAAAGAAAAGGAAACAUUUAUGUAUGCGUAAAUUAUGCAUUCCAAAAAGCAAAACACGAAUAUAAUGAAAGAAAAAAGUUGCAAAAUAAUAAAACCAAAGUAUAGCAAACAUUAACACCUAUCUGAAAAAAAUUAUACUGCAUAUUAUGAUUGUUAUAUUUGUAUCAAACUAAAAGUACCUACUAAAAUAAUAACCCUACAUCCGAAUAAUUACUAUGAAUUAUAUUUAUUAUAUAAAACAGUAAUCAGUUUAUCAGUGGCGUGUUUUGUAUCUUGUGCAAUUGACAAAAGCCACGGUUUUUCUGACGACGAUGAAAUUAAUUUAGCGUGUGUCAAUCCGUUUGAUGCUUUUAAAACUGCAACACAGUGCCAAAAAAAUAUAUAAAGAAGGAAGUAAAUGUCUUAAAAGAAAAAUACUUUGUUAAAGCAUAUGAAAAAGAACCAAGUGCUACCUACAAACAAAACGUGAAAAAUAAUACAUUUAUUAUUUGAUAUUACAAUAUUGUAAUAUUCCUAUUAAAAUAAACAGGAAAACCACAUCCUGUUUACUGGUAUCGAAUUUCCUAUAAAAUAGAUGUGAACCUCAAAUCAUGUUAGUAGUUCAACAGAGUAGAUUAUAACGUGAUGAAUUUAUUGUGUGUGUUACUGCUGUUAAGCAUUGCUGUAAAAACGGAAUGUACUGAUUUAUUUCAUGAUCGAAUAAAUGAAAUACGAAGAGCCUAUGAUGAAUGUAACAAUGAUACCUCAAUAACAACAGAGUGUAAAGCCAGUUGUGCAUUGGACAAAGUAAAUAUGUUAACCCCGUCCGGAAAUGCAAUUAAUGCUUCUGAAUUCGGCAACUUUUACAAACGGUACGCCAAAAGUUGUUACACUUUUAAUGCAAAACCAAAUUGUGAGGAAGCAGAUGAUUUGGUAAAGUGUUACUACAACAAAUCAGUCUCCGCAACCUAUGAAGCAAUAGACGAGUGUAGAAAACGGUUUCCAGUCGCAAAUUUGGACUCACUAAAAAUGACAGAAGAGGAGUUAGCUAAAAAUGAAACUGUUGCUUGUCUAGUUGCUUGCUUUAGCGAAAAAAUGCACAUGUUUUCAGACGAUGGAAAAAUUGAUUUAUCUUUUAUCAAUCCACACAUUGAUUUCGAGUUUAAUGCAACUGAAGUUGUUUUACAGUGUGAUGAAAGUAAUAAACAGGAGAACCAAUGUCAAAGGAAAGGAAACAUUUUUAUUUGCGUGGACGAUACAUUCACAAAAGCAAAACAUGAAUAUUAUGAAAGGAAAAGAUUAGAAAAUAAUUAAAACAAAUUAAAGCAAAUAUUAACACCUAUCUGAUAAAAUUAUACUGCAUAUUAUUACUAAUAUGAUUGUAUUCAACUAACAGUACUUAUUCAAAUAAUAACCCUACAUCCGCUUCAUUAGUACAAUUCAUAUUUAUUAUAUAUAACUGUGAUCAGUUAUAAUUUUAGCAGUUCAACUCAAAAAGUAGGGUAAACCACAACAACAACAUGAAGUUAUUUAACGUGUUUGUAAUAUUUUCCAUCUUUGCAACUAGUUAUUCAGACCUAUUUUAUGACCCAAUCAACGAAAUGCGAGAAGCUCGAUCAAAAUGCACUGAAGAUGCAUCAUUGACACCAGAAUGUCACACGAGCUGUGUUUUGGAAAAAACCAACAUGUUAACACCAUCAGGAGAUGCAAUCAACACUAAUAAAUUUACAAAAUUUUACAAACAAUACGCAGAAAGCUGUUUUACAUUCAAAUCAAAACCAACUUGUGAGGAAGCUGAUAUAUUCGCUAAAUGCUACUACAACAAAACAAAGCAAGCAAAAGAUGAUACUAUGAAGGAAUGUCUGCGGCAAUAUCCACAAGAAAAUCCACAUGUAAUAGCCCUAUCUGAAGAAAUGAUAGCCAAAGAUGAGAAUCUUGCUUGUUUCACAACAAAAUUGACCUAGCGUCUAUCAAUCCGGAUAAUAAUUUUGAGUGUGAUGCAGAGGAACUUAUUGCAAAGUGUGAAAAACGUAAUAAACAAGAAAGUAUGUGUCAGAGAAAAGCAAUGACAUUCAUGUGUUUCUAUACAUAUUAUUACGCAGUUAAACAACGUCAAUACUAGUGGUAAAAUAAAUUUUAAAAUAAAUAAUUAACAAUAAAUUCCAUUUAACACUUCGCACUUAUAGUGAAAUAAUAAAAUGUUUGUUUUUUGUUCACCACGAUAAACUUUAUUGCAUUGUUACACACAGAUUAAUUGGCAGAACAACACCGCAUCCUGUUUCCUGUUAGAAUUUUAUAACAAAUGAAAUAUUAACAAGUUUCGCUAGUUCAGUUAUAUUGCAGCAGUGUUCAUAACAAGAUGAAAUUGUAUCAUGGAAUUUUAAUAUUUGCUGGCUUUGCCAGUAUCCACUGUUCUCAAUUAAUAUAUUCACCGAUGAUUGAAAUUCAAAGAGCUCGAUUAAUUUGCGCUAAUGACUCGUCUAUUACACCAGAAUGUAAUUGUCUAUGCGCGCUUGAAAAUUCCAACAUGUUGACACCUGCUGGUGAUGCAAUCAAUCCUGAUAAAAUUGGGAAAGUCUAUACAAAAUACGCUGCCAGUUGUUUUAAUUUGACUGCAAAACCAAGUUGUGAUGAAGCUGAACAAUUUGUUAAUUGUUUCCUGAACAGUGCAAGAAAAGAGUCUCCACAAGAAUGCUCGAAACAAUUUAAAGUUAGUGAUUUAAAAUCAAUCACAAUGUCGGAUGAUGGAAUGGUAACAAAUGAAAAUGAAGCUUGUUUUGCAUCUUGCAUCGCAGACAAAGUGUAUGCGUUUAAUGAUGAUGAUACAAUUGACUUGGCUUUUGCUAAUCCACAUUUGGAUUUUAAGUUUAACACACGUGACGUUGCUUCAAAAUGUGAAGAAACUUACAAACAACGUGGUAGUAAAUGUCAGAUACAAGCAAGUAUUUUCAUAUGUUUGUUAACGGCUUUCGAAAAAGUUCAGAGUGAAUAUUUUAUAAAAAUGGAAAAAAUGCAUAAUAAUCCUUAAAGAUUGAAAAAUAACAUUGAUAAUAAAAUGGAAGCAUUGCAAAAA
Long non-coding RNA from Dalotia coriaria, 4580 nucleotides. RefSeq lists it as uncharacterized. The transcript is spliced from 6 exons. The record is from RefSeq and is a predicted model, not a curated record. Lineage: Eukaryota; Metazoa; Arthropoda; Insecta; Coleoptera; Staphylinidae.